RNAcentral lists this ribosomal RNA (406 nucleotides) under uncultured bacterium. RNAcentral describes it as "partial 16S ribosomal RNA". It matches the Rfam family "Bacterial small subunit ribosomal RNA", at positions 29 to 526 of the family's 1533-position model. The record is from RNAcentral.
AUUGAACGCUGGCGGCAGGCCUAACACAUGCAAGUCGAGCGAGAGGCGGACGGGGGAGUAAUAUCUGGGAAACUGCCUGAUGGAGGGGGAUAAAGACAGGAACCGGUAGAUAAUCCAGCAUCUCAUCAGAAGUGCACAGAUGGGAGUAGCUGGUAGGUGGGGUAACGGCUCACCUGGGCGACGAUCCCUAGAUGGUCUGAGAGGAUGACCAGCCACACGGGAACUGAGACACGGUCCAGACUCCUACGGGAGGCAGCAGUGGGGAAUAUUGCACAAUGGGCGCAAGCCUGAUGCAGCCAUGCCGCGUGUGUGAAGAAGGCCUUCGGGUUGUAAAGCACUUUCAGCGGGGAGGCGUUACCCGCAGAAGAAGCACCGGCUAACUCCGUGCCAGCAGCCGCGGUAAUUC